GAUGAACGCUGGCGGCGUGCUUAACACAUGCAAGUCGAACGGGAAAUAUUUCAUUGAGACUUCGGUGGAUUUGAUCUAUUUCUAGUGGCGGACGGGUGAGUAACGCGUGGGUAACCUGCCUUAUACAGGGGGAUAACAGUCAGAAAUGGCUGCUAAUACCGCAUAAGCGCACAGAGCUACAUGGCUCAGUGUGAAAAACUCCGGUGGUAUAAGAUGGACCCGCGUUGGAUUAGCUGGUUGGUGGGGUAACGGCCCACCAAGGCGACGAUCCAUAGCCGGCCUGAGAGGGUGAACGGCCACAUUGGGACUGAGACACGGCCCAGACUCCUACGGGAGGCAGCAGUGGGGGAUAUUGCACAAUGGGGGAAACCCUGAUGCAGCGACGCCGCGUGAAGGAAGAAGUAUUUCGGUAUGUAAACUUCUAUCAGCAGGGAAGAUAGUGACGGUACCUGACUAAGAAGCCCCGGCU
Molecule: ribosomal RNA, 469 nt
Filed under: uncultured bacterium
Lineage: Bacteria
Description: bacterial SSU rRNA
Rfam family: Bacterial small subunit ribosomal RNA
Source: RNAcentral